AUACAGGGGGUGCAAGCGUUGUUCGGAAUUACUGGGCGUAAAGGGAGCGUAGGCGGAUCUACAAGACAGUGGUUAAAUCUCCGGGCUCAACCUGGAACUUGCCUUUGUGACUGUGGAUCUUGAGUAUGGUAGAGGUUGGCGGAAUUUCCGGUGUAGCGGUGGAAUGCGUAGAGAUAUGGAGGAACACCAGUGGCGAAGGCGGCUUCCUGGUCUGUAACUGACACUGAGGCGCGAAAGCGUGGGGAGC
RNAcentral lists this ribosomal RNA (247 nucleotides) under uncultured bacterium. Its description in RNAcentral is "partial 16S ribosomal RNA". It matches the Rfam family "Bacterial small subunit ribosomal RNA", at positions 523 to 769 of the family's 1533-position model. The record is from RNAcentral.